RNAcentral lists this long non-coding RNA (1495 nucleotides) under Prunus persica (peach). RNAcentral's name for it is "long non-coding RNA (PPER_LNC006170)". Lineage: Eukaryota; Viridiplantae; Streptophyta; Magnoliopsida; Rosales; Rosaceae. The record is from RNAcentral.
GGGGAACAUCAUAUUAUUGUGGGAGGAGUCAUUUGGUGGGUUUUGAGUGAAAUUCAAUCUCUAGAACUAUACAAUACACCAACCACCCCAUUUCAGAACGAACUUCGUACGAACCUGAAUUGUCCGAUUUCAAGGACCACUCGAUAUCGGAUUGAGUCCAAAACUUGGGGAACGUCAUAACAUUCUCGGAGGGGUCAUUUGGUGGGUUUUGAGUGAAAUCCAAUCUCUAGAACUAUAGAAUACACCAACCACCCCAUCUCAGAACGAACUUCGUACGAACCUGAAUUGUCCGAUUUCAAGGACCAAUCGACAUCGGAUUGUGUCCAAAACUUGGGGGACAUAAAAAUAUUGUGGGAGAAGUCAUUAGAUGGGUUUUGAGUGAAAAAAAAUCCCUAGAACUAUACAAUACACCAACCACUCCAUUUCAGAACGAACUUCGUACGAACCUGAAUUGUCCAAUUUCAAGCCCCAAUCGAUAUCGGAUUGGGUCUAAAACUUGGGGAACAGCAUAAUAUUGUGGGAGGAGUCAUUUGGUGGGUUUUGAGUGAAAUCCAAUCCCUAGAACUAUACAAUACACCAACCACUCCAUUUCAGAACGAACUUCGUACGAACCUGAAUUGUCAAAUUUCGUGGACUGAUCGAUAUCGGAUAGGGCGCUAGCAUGUUGGAGCUGUAAUAUUGUGGGAGGAGUCAUUUGGUGGGUUUUGAGUGAAAUACAAUCCCUAGAACUAUACAAUACACCAACCACACCAUUUCACAACGAACUUGGUACGAACCUGAAUUGUCAAAUUUCGUGGACUAAUCGAUAUCGAAUUGAGUCCAGAACUUGGGGAACAACACAAUAUUGUGGGAGGAGGCACUAUACAAUACGCCAACCACCCCAUUUCAGAACGAACUUCAUACUAACCUGAAUUGUCCGAUUUCGAGGACCAAUCGAUAUCGGAUUGAGUCAAAAACUUGGGGAACAUCAUAAUAUUGUGGGAGGAGUCAUUUAGAGGGUUUUGAGCGAAAUCCAAUCUCUAGAACUAUACAAUACACCAACCACCCCAUUUCGGAACGAACUUCAAACGGACCUGAAUUGUCCGAUUUCAAGGACCCAUCGAUAUCGGAUUGAGUCCAAAACUUGGGGAACAUCAUAUUAUUGUGGGAGGAGUCAUUUGGUGGGUUUUGAGUGAAUUCCAAUCUCUACAACUAUACAAUACACCGACCGCUCCAUUUCAGAACGAACUUCGUACGAACCUGAAUUGUCAAAUUUCGAGGACCGAUCGAUAUCGGAUUGAGUCCAAAACUAGGGGGACCAUCACAAUAUUGUGGGAGGAGUCAUUUUGGUGGGUUUUGAGUGAAAUCCAAUCUCUAGAACUAUACAAUACACCAACCACCCCAUUUCGGAACGAACUUCGUACGAACCUGAAUCGUCCGAUUUCAAGGACCAAUCGAUAUCGGAUUGAGUCCAAAACUUGGGGAACAUCAAAAUAUUGUGGGAGGAGUCAUUUGG